UUCAUCAGCUGCACACUCAGCAGAUGUUCAGUGUGCUGUAGGAACUAUCCAAACAAAGGUUCAUUUGAGCAAGAAAAAUGAACCAGAUCUUUAUCUUGUCUUUCCUUGCAGGUGUCAGUUUGGGGCUUGAGGUCCAUCAGUCCCACUCUGACCUCUUCAAAAGAACUGGUGACAAAGUUCACAUUUUCUGCACCCACAAAAAAACCGACUACAGGGUGAUGCUCUGGUACCGACGGUCACCUGGAGACACGGCCAUGAAGCUCAUCGGAUAUUUGCACUACGACAAGCCAUCUAUGGAAGACAAAGAUGAAAAGGACUUUGGGAUCUCUGGAGAUCUGGGAGGGGAUACGGCGAAGAACGGAUCCCUGACGAUCCAAACCGUGAAACAGAAUCACACCGCCAUCUACUACUGCGCUGCAAGAGAAGCACAUUGACAGAAAUCCUCUCUGCACCUCAACAAUAACUGUGCUGUG
Molecule: non-coding RNA, 473 nt
Organism: Xiphophorus couchianus (Monterrey platyfish)
Lineage: Eukaryota; Metazoa; Chordata; Actinopteri; Cyprinodontiformes; Poeciliidae
Source: the annotation of a RefSeq genome assembly